UUUUGGUCCAAUUUUUAGGACACUUUAUGAGGCGAUACUCGCUGAUGACAAACCCAAACUAAUGGAAGGUAAGAAAUGGGCUAGUACUGAUGACCUUCUGAGAAGAGAAAAGGAAGUAAUUGUGAAGUAACAAUACUCCAAGCUACUUUAUCCUUGCUCAAGUAUCAAACAAUAAGGUCGAAUCCACCAAAUGGAAAUCCUAACCUAGGAAGAGAUAACACCAAAAAGUGCUAGAAACCUAAAGGAUAACGGGCCCCACGACUAAGGAACGACUUUGCCCAAAAAUUUCAGUCCAAGAAGAAAGCCCAAAUAUAGACUGGGUAUGGGUGCCCGUGGAGUACAAAUGUGUCGCAAUGAACAUACAGGAUAUUUGGCCUCCAUGUUCAACGAUGUUCCAAGGUCCUGUAAUGAACCAAUCGAAGCGAUCUUAUACCCCGCAGGAAAAUCAGACAUAAAAAUUCCUC
RNAcentral lists this long non-coding RNA (464 nucleotides) under Carica papaya (papaya). RNAcentral's name for it is "long non-coding RNA (CPAP_LNC011522)". The record is from RNAcentral. Lineage: Eukaryota; Viridiplantae; Streptophyta; Magnoliopsida; Brassicales; Caricaceae.